RNAcentral lists this ribosomal RNA (464 nucleotides) under uncultured Clostridiaceae bacterium. RNAcentral's name for it is "bacterial SSU rRNA". It matches the Rfam family "Bacterial small subunit ribosomal RNA", at positions 8 to 499 of the family's 1533-position model. Lineage: Bacteria; Bacillati; Bacillota; Clostridia; Eubacteriales; Clostridiaceae. The record is from RNAcentral.
AGGCUUUGAUCCUGGCUCAGGAUGAACGCUGGCGGCGUGCCUAACACAUGCAAGUCGAGCGAUUUUCUUCGGAGAAGAGCGGCGGACGGGUGAGUAACGCGUGGGUAACCUGCCCUGUACACACGGAUAACAUACCGAAAGGUAUGCUAAUACGGGAUAACAUAUUUUGAUGGCAUCAUCGAAAUAUCAAAGCUCUGGCGGUACAGGAUGGACCCGCGUCUGAUUAGCUAGUUGGUGAGGUAAUGGCUCACCAAGGCGACGAUCAGUAGCCGACCUGAGAGGGUGAUCGGCCACAUUGGAACUGAGACACGGUCCAAACUCCUACGGGAGGCAGCAGUGGGGAAUAUUGCACAAUGGGCGAAAGCCUGAUGCAGCAACGCCGCGUGAGUGAUGAAGGCCUUCGGGUCGUAAAGCUCUGUCCUCAAGGAAGAUAAUGACGGUACUUGAGGAGGAAGCCCCGGCGU